CAUUACUAGUUCACUGCUUAACCGGGUACCUUUUUCAGAAGCCAGCUCUAGAGGUGCAUGCUUGAACCACUCUUUACUGGCACCAGGGAGUAGAAAACUGAUGGCCAUGAGCGAGCUGAGGAAGAAGCAUUUGGAAUUCCUUACAUACUAGUCUUCAGGGAAAGCUGACUCAGAGACUUUGCCCUAACUGAUGAAUAAGGGCAAACAGCAGCAACUCAGAACGUGGUGGAAAAUGCAAAAAGCUCCCCAAAAGUCUGUGGCUAAGAUGAGAUUUCCUGUGUUGCUGUUGCUCACUGGCAGUAUGCGACUAUACCACCACUACAAAAGGAAUUUGCAUCUAUUCAAAGCAGUAUCCACCUACCCCGCUACCUCUCUCCUUUCCAGUUAUGUGACAAACAGGGAGUCAUUAGAAAUGAAGGCAGAGGUCUUGCAAAAGCUGAAGUGAGAGGCACAAAUAAAGCUGCUCAGGAAAUGAGCUCA
This 480-nucleotide long non-coding RNA is filed under the name Struthio camelus australis. RNAcentral describes it as "lncRNA (ENSSCUG00000008252.1)". The record is from RNAcentral. Lineage: Eukaryota; Metazoa; Chordata; Aves; Struthioniformes; Struthionidae.